Molecule: ribosomal RNA, 497 nt
Filed under: uncultured bacterium
Lineage: Bacteria
Description: partial 16S ribosomal RNA
Rfam family: Bacterial small subunit ribosomal RNA
Source: RNAcentral
GAUGAACGCUGGCGGCGUGCCUAAUACAUGCAAGUCGAGCGAACAGACGAGGAGCUUGCUCCUCUGACGUUAGCGGCGGACGGGUGAGUAACACGUGGAUAACCUACCUAUAAGACUGGGAUAACUUCGGGAAACCGGAGCUAAUACCGGAUAAUAUAUUGAACCGCAUGGUUCAAUAGUGAAAGACGGUUUUGCUAUCACUUAUAGAUGGAUCCGCGCUGCAUUAGCUAGUUGGUAAGGUAACGGCUUACCAAGGCAACGAUGCGUAGCCGACCUGAGAGGGUGAUCGGCCACACUGGAACUGAGACACGGUCCAGACUCCUACGGGAGGCAGCAGUAGGGAAUCUUCCGCAAUGGGCGAAAGCCUGACGGAGCAACGCCGCGUGAGUGAUGAAGGUCUUCGGAUCGUAAAACUCUGUUAUUAGGGAAGAACAAAUGUGUAAGUAACUGUGCACGUCUUGACGGUACCUAAUCAGAAAGCCACGGCUAACUACGUG